UCCUAGCCCCGAUAGUAGUGGAAAUCCUUUUGCUUUUUUCUUUAAAAAGCAAAAGAUUGAAACGGAUAGCGGGAAAUAGC
RNAcentral lists this small RNA (80 nucleotides) under Flavobacterium phragmitis. RNAcentral's name for it is "Flavo-1 RNA". It matches the Rfam family "Flavo-1 RNA". The record is from RNAcentral. Lineage: Bacteria; Pseudomonadati; Bacteroidota; Flavobacteriia; Flavobacteriales; Flavobacteriaceae.